RNAcentral lists this unclassified non-coding RNA (278 nucleotides) under uncultured Chroococcidiopsis sp. RNAcentral describes it as "partial contains 16S ribosomal RNA, 16S-23S ribosomal RNA intergenic spacer, and 23S ribosomal RNA". It matches the Rfam family "Bacterial large subunit ribosomal RNA", at positions 710 to 987 of the family's 2925-position model. Lineage: Bacteria; Bacillati; Cyanobacteriota; Cyanophyceae; Chroococcidiopsidales; Chroococcidiopsidaceae. The record is from RNAcentral.
UAGACCCGAACCCGGGUGAUCUAACCAUGUCCAGGAUGAAGCUUGGGUAAAACCAAGUGGAGGUCCGAACCGACCGAUGUUGAAAAAUCGGCGGAUGAGGUGUGGUUAGGGGUGAAAUGCCAAUCGAACCCGGAGCUAGCUGGUUCUCCCCGAAAUGUGUUGAGGCGCAGCGGUUGAGGUUUAAAUCUGGGGGUAAAGCACUGUUUCGGUGCGGGCUGCCUCAAGCGGUACCAAAUCGAGACAAACUCAGAAUACCAGAGGAAUACUCAACCAGUGAG